This 377-nucleotide ribosomal RNA is filed under the name uncultured Actinomycetes bacterium. RNAcentral describes it as "bacterial SSU rRNA". It matches the Rfam family "Bacterial small subunit ribosomal RNA", at positions 1073 to 1446 of the family's 1533-position model. Lineage: Bacteria; Bacillati; Actinomycetota; Actinomycetes. The record is from RNAcentral.
UGUUGGGUUAAGUCCCGCAACGAGCGCAACCCUCGUUCUAUGUUGCCAGCACGUAAUGGUGGGAACUCAUAGGAGACUGCCGGGGUCAACUCGGAGGAAGGUGGGGAUGACGUCAAAUCAUCAUGCCCUUUAUGUCUUGGGCUUCACGCAUGCUACAAUGGCUGGUACAGAGAGAUGCGAGACCGCGAGGUUUUAGCGAAUCCCUUAAAGCCAGUCUCAGUUCGGAUCGUAGUCUGCAAUUCGACUACGUGAAGUCGGAGUCGCUAGUAAUCGCAGAUCAGCAACGCUGCGGUGAAUACGUUCCCGGGCCUUGUACACACCGCCCGUCAAGUCACGAAAGUCGGUAACACCCGAAGCCGGUGGCCCAACCCUUGUGG